UACGUAGGGGGCAAGCGUUGUCCGGAAUCAUUGGGCGUAAAGCGCGUGUAGGCGGCUUGGUAAGUCCGCUCUGAAAGCCCGGGGCUCAACCCCGGGAGGCGGGUGGAUACUGUCAAGCUCGAGUCCGGAAGAGGCGAGUGGAAUUCCUGGUGUAGCGGUGAAAUGCGCAGAUAUCAGGAGGAACACCAAUGGCGAAGGCAGCUCGCUGGGACGUGACUGACGCUGAGAAGCGAAAGCAUGGGGAGCGAACAGG
RNAcentral lists this ribosomal RNA (253 nucleotides) under uncultured bacterium. Its description in RNAcentral is "partial 16S ribosomal RNA". It matches the Rfam family "Bacterial small subunit ribosomal RNA", at positions 524 to 776 of the family's 1533-position model. The record is from RNAcentral.